Molecule: transfer RNA, 76 nt
Filed under: Salmonella enterica subsp. enterica serovar Newport
Lineage: Bacteria; Pseudomonadati; Pseudomonadota; Gammaproteobacteria; Enterobacterales; Enterobacteriaceae
Description: tRNA-Phe
Rfam family: tRNA
About the family: Transfer RNA (tRNA) molecules are approximately 80 nucleotides in length.
Source: RNAcentral
UUCUGGAUAGCUCAGUCGGUAGAGCAGGGGAUUGAAAAUCCCCGUGUCCUUGGUUCGAUUCCGAGUCCGGGCACCA